Molecule: unclassified non-coding RNA, 377 nt
Filed under: uncultured Oligoflexaceae bacterium
Lineage: Bacteria; Pseudomonadati; Bdellovibrionota; Oligoflexia; Oligoflexales; Oligoflexaceae
Description: contains 16S-23S intergenic spacer region
Source: RNAcentral
UCCGGUUUAACACCGGCAGUCUCCCUAGAGUCCCCAACUGAAUGGUGGUAACUAAGGACAGGGGUUGCGCUCGUUGCAGGACUUAACCUAACAUCUUACGACACGAGCUGACGACAGCCAUGCAGCACCUAUCACCUUGUGCCCGAAGGCAAAGCUAUAUCUCUAUAGCGAUCAAGGGAUGUUAAGCCCAGGUAAGGUUCUGCGCGUUGCUUCGAAUUAAACCACAUACUCCACCGCUUGUGCGGGCCCCCGUCAAUUCCUUUGAGUUUUAGCCUUGCGACCGUACUCCCCAGGCGGGAUACUUAAUGCGUGAGCUUUGGUACCCAGUCGGUUAGACAACCGGACACCUAGUAUCCAUAGUUUACAGCGUGGACUAC